Molecule: ribosomal RNA, 465 nt
Filed under: uncultured bacterium
Lineage: Bacteria
Description: partial 16S ribosomal RNA
Rfam family: Bacterial small subunit ribosomal RNA
Source: RNAcentral
GACGAACGCUGGCGGCGUGCUUAACACAUGCAAGUCGUACGGUAAGGCCCUUUCGGGGGUACACGAGUGGCGAACGGGUGAGUAACACGUGAGUAACCUGCCCACAACUUUGGGAUAACGCUAGGAAACUGGUGCUAAUACUGGAUAUGUGCUCCUGCUGCAUGGUGGGGGUUGGAAAGCUCCGGCGGUUGUGGAUGGACUCGCGGCCUAUCAGCUUGUUGGUGGGGUAGUGGCCUACCAAGGCGGCGACGGGUAGCCGGCCUGAGAGGGUGACCGGCCACAUUUGGACUGGGAUACGGCCCAGACUCCUACGGGAGGCAGCAGGGGGGAAUAUUGCACAAUGGGGGCAAGCCUGAUGCAGCAACGCCGCGUGCGGGAUGACGGCCUUCGGGUUGUAAACCGCUUUCAGCAGGGACGAAGCUUUUUGUGACGGUACCUGCAGAAGAAGCACCGGCUAACUACGUG